This 262-nucleotide long non-coding RNA is filed under the name Capsicum annuum. RNAcentral's name for it is "long non-coding RNA (CANN_LNC015262)". Lineage: Eukaryota; Viridiplantae; Streptophyta; Magnoliopsida; Solanales; Solanaceae. The record is from RNAcentral.
UGUGCGACUUGAUGUGGAAAUAUUAGUUGCCCCCAAAGACGUUGCCGCAUCUUGCAUUUGACUAUCGCUUGUCAUUUUUCCUGUCACCACAAGACAAAAAAUACUUAGUAUUUUCAGAAUACUACUUAUAAAGUUAAGCAACUUUAAACUUUUCUUCUUGUUUCUAGUUGACAAUGAAGUUUUUAUGACUUCCAAUUGUCAACCGAAUGAUCUUUAACUUGUGAUGAAGUUUUUAUGACUUUAAAUCACUAGUUAAGUUCAG